Molecule: transfer RNA, 71 nt
Filed under: Megalops atlanticus (tarpon)
Lineage: Eukaryota; Metazoa; Chordata; Actinopteri; Elopiformes; Megalopidae
Description: tRNA-OTHER
Source: RNAcentral
ACCAGUGUAGCAUAGUGGUUAAGGAGCCGGGCUUGUAACCGAAAGGUUGCGGGUUCGAUUCCCCACUGGGG